Molecule: small nucleolar RNA, 95 nt
Organism: Argentina anserina (silverweed cinquefoil)
Lineage: Eukaryota; Viridiplantae; Streptophyta; Magnoliopsida; Rosales; Rosaceae
Source: RefSeq, a predicted model, not a curated record
UGUUACUGCAAUGAUGAUAUAUGUGAAUCCCAGCUCAUUAUGAGACCCUUUGUGGUCCAGGAAUAGCCUUUAUCCACAGAUAUAUGAGCUUAAAU